CCACAGCAGAGAGAAUUUGGUGAUUUAAUGGGAGGAGCAACUAGACCUAGGCGGAGGAAAAGACUGUGAGCUGGACCAAUGAAUGCUGUUCCAGAAAAUAGUUGCUGGUGAGUCCUGAGAAGACUUCAUGUGGGUCUGACUCAGCUCUCAAAUGAACAGUCGCCUUUCCCCAACAUCCUUCUUCGUUUCUGCACCACUGAGGAACUUUUUGGCCUGGGGUUAUUCUGCUCCCAACGUGAGCUAACACCCACAGAAGCAGGUUUCUCCUGGGAAACCGGCCAAGUCCAUCUGGAUCCACUGAGAAGCAGACACCAAGAUUACAUUAGAAGUGAUUCCAAUUGGAGAGAUUCCCAUUGGAAGAAAAAGGAAGAGUGAGAAGGCCAGAGCAAUUGAAAUUUAACUGUGAAUCGUGGGCAAGUGGAGUUAUCAAUUUUGAAGAGAAUCAAACAGGAAGAUCCUUUAUCAAAAGUCAGG
Molecule: long non-coding RNA, 474 nt
Organism: Fukomys damarensis (Damara mole-rat)
Lineage: Eukaryota; Metazoa; Chordata; Mammalia; Rodentia; Bathyergidae
Exons: 5
Source: RefSeq, a predicted model, not a curated record